AUCCGUAUACAGAUAAAUGGAAACGUGUAAGUGUUGUCUUGAAUAAGAAUACAAAGCAAUCGCAAAAAGAGGCAAUGUUUCGUUUAGAAGAAAAAAUAAAAGAAAAACUAAACAACAAGUCGUCAAGCGAAUUAAAAACUUUGACUUUUCACGCGUUAUUAGAUGAAUGGCUUGAAUAUCAUAUAAAAACAUCUGGCUUUAAAGUAACGACGCUUGAUAAUUUGAAAACAAGAAUCAAAAACAUCAAAAAGAACAGUUCUCAAAAUUUACUUUUAAACAAAAUUGAUACAAAGUACAUGCAAACAUUUAUUAACGAAUUAUCAAACGUAUAUUCUGCAAAUCAGGUAAAGCGUCAACUUGGACAUAUGAAAGAAGCUAUUAAAUACGCCGUUAAAUUUUACAAUUAUCCAAACGAACACAUAUUAAAUAGCGUCACACUACCAAAGAAGAGUAAGACGAUAGAAGAUAUAGAAAAAGAAGAAGCGAAAAUGUACAACUAUUUAGAGAUGGAACAGGUAAUACAGAUACGCGAUUUUAUACUGAACGAUAAUAACAUGCAGUAUAGAGCUCGUAUUUUAGUUGCUGGGGCUGUAGAAGUUCAAGCUUUAACAGGUAUGCGCAUAGGUGAGUUAUUAGCUCUCCAAGUUAAAGAUGUUGACCUCAAAAAUAAAACGAUCGCUAUUAAUGGCACUAUUCACAGAAUCAAAUGUAAUGCUGGAUUUGGUCACAAAGAUACUACGAAGACCGCAGGUUCAAAAAGAAAAAUCGCCAUCAAUUCAAGGAUAGCAAAUGUAUUGAAAAAAAUAAUGUUAGAAAAUAAAAAGAUGCAACAAUGGGAACCAAGCUAUGUUGAUAGAGGGUUUAUAUUCACAACUUGCCAAGGAAAUCCUAUGCAAGGCAGUAGGAUAAACAAACGAUUGUCCUCAGCUGCAGAAUCAUUAAAUAUAAAUAAAAAAGUUACUACUCACACACUAAGGCAUACACACAUAAGUUUAUUGGCGGAAAUGAAUAUAUCGUUAAAAGCAAUUAUGAAAAGAGUAGGACAUAGAGAUGAAAAAACGACUAUAAAGGUGUAUACACAUGUAACAGAGAAAAUGGACAGAGAGUUAGAGCAAAAAUUAGAAAAACUUGUGUACUAAAAGGUAUCUGCCCUUUUUCUGCCCUUUUUUAUUUUUAAAGACGCUACAAAUCCUUUGUAACAACUGAUAUUAAAGGCUUUUUAACACAAGUUAAUCCCAUCCUUGUAUGAUUGGUUUAACUUGCCAGAUACCUCUGCGUGUGGCAGGGUCAUCAUUCGUAACA
Molecule: ribosomal RNA, 1302 nt
Filed under: Staphylococcus aureus LysK 1 2011
Lineage: Bacteria; Bacillati; Bacillota; Bacilli; Caryophanales; Staphylococcaceae
Description: partial 16S ribosomal RNA
Source: RNAcentral